This 465-nucleotide ribosomal RNA is filed under the name uncultured bacterium. Its description in RNAcentral is "partial 16S ribosomal RNA". It matches the Rfam family "Bacterial small subunit ribosomal RNA", at positions 338 to 795 of the family's 1533-position model. The record is from RNAcentral.
CCUACGGGAGGCAGCAGUAGGGAAUCUUCCACCAUGGGCGAAAGCCUGAUGGAGCAACGCCGCGUGGGUGAAGAAGGUCUUCUGAUCGUAAAACCCUGUUGUUAGAGAAGAACGUGCGUGAGAGUAACUGUUCACGUUUCGAUGGUAUCUAACCAGAAAGCCACGGCUAACUACGUGCCAGCAGCCGCGGUAAUCCGUAGGUGGCAAGCGUUAUCCGGUGUUAUUGGGGGUAAAGGGAACGCAGGCGGUCUUUUAAGUCUGAUGUGAAAGCCUUCGGCUUAACCGGAGUAGUGCAUUGGAAACUGGGAGACUUGAGGGCAGAAGAGGAGAGUGGAACGCCAUGUGUAGCGGUGAAAUGCGUAGAUAGAUGGAAGAACACCAGUGGAGAAGGCGGCUCUCUGGUCUGUAACUGACGCUGAGGUUCGAAAGCGUGGGUAGCAAACAGGAUUAGAUACCCCGGGAGUC